Molecule: long non-coding RNA, 1250 nt
Filed under: Homo sapiens (human)
Lineage: Eukaryota; Metazoa; Chordata; Mammalia; Primates; Hominidae
Description: HSALNT0395497
Source: RNAcentral
CAGAAAUAGAGAUUUCAUAGCUUUCAUCCUGAAAUUUCAGCCAUGAAUCAGGCAUAAAUAUUCUGAUGGUUAAUUUUAGACAUCCACUUGAUCGGAUUAAGAGACACACAUAGCUGGUCAAACACGAUUUCAGCCAUGAAUCAGGCAUAAAUAUUCUGAUGGUUAAUUUUAGACAUCUACUUGACUGGAUUGAGAGACACACACAGCUGGUCAAACACGAUUUCAGCCAUGAAUCAGGCAUAAAUAUUCUGAUGGUUAAUUUUAGACAUCUACUUGAUCGGAUUAAGGACACACACAGCUGGUCAAACACGAUUUCAGCCAUGAAUCAGGCAUAAAUAUUCUGAUGGUUAAUUUUAGACAUCUACUUGACUGGAUUAAGAGACACACAUAGCUGGUCAAACACAAUUUCUGGGCAUAUCUGUGAGGGUGUUUCUGGAAGACACUGAGAUAAGCAUGAUCCAGUGUGGAUGGGCACUGAUAGGGUUUGGCUGUGUCCCCACCCAGAUCUCAUCUUGAAUUGUAGUUCCUAUAAUCCCUACAUGUCGUGGGAGGGACCCAGUGGGAGGUGACUGAAUCAUGGUGGUGGUUACUGCCAUGCUGUUCCCAUGACAGUGAGUGAGUUCUCACGAUCUCAUGGUUUUAUAAGGGGCUUUUCCCCUUUGGCUCAGCACUUCUCCUUGUUGCUGCCUUGUGAAGAAGGACAGCUUUGCUUCCCCUUCUGCCAUGAUUGUGAGGGCCCUGCAGCCAUGUGGAACUGUCAGCCCAUUCAACCUCUUUGUUCUUUAUAAAUUGCUCAGACUCAGGUAUUUCUUCAUAGCUGUAUAAAAAUGGAUGAAUACAGGCACCAUCCAAUUGGUUGAGAGCCCAGAUAAAACAACAAGGAAGAGGAAAGGUGAAUUAUCUCCUUCUGAAAUGGAAACAUCCUUCUUCUCCUGCCCUUGACAUCAGAACUUCAGGGUCUCAGACCUUUGGCCUCAGAAUCAGAGUUACACUAUUGGCUUCCCUGAUUCUGAGUCCUUUGUAUCUGGAGUGAGCCACGCUACCAGCUUUCCUGGUUCUCCAACUUGGAGACAGGCUAUUGUGGAACUUCUCAGCCUCCAUAAUUAUGUGAACCAAUUCCCCUAAUGAAUCUUCUCUCAUCUAUCUACAUAUAUCCUAUUGAUUCUGCCUUCUGGAGAACCCUGACUAAUGUGAUUGCAAUACUACAAAAUUCACUAGUUUAUAUAGAAGACUUGGUUUUUGUCUUUGCC